GGUGGCUCAGUGGUAGAGUGCUUGGCUUGCAUGCAUGAGGUCCUGGGUUCAAUUCCUCAGCC
This 62-nucleotide transfer RNA is filed under the name Dipodomys ordii (Ord's kangaroo rat). It matches the Rfam family "tRNA", at positions 6 to 65 of the family's 71-position model. Rfam says of the family: Transfer RNA (tRNA) molecules are approximately 80 nucleotides in length. Their secondary structure includes four short double-helical elements and three loops (D, anti-codon, and T loops). Further hydrogen bonds mediate the characteristic L-shaped molecular structure. tRNAs have two regions of fundamental functional importance: the anti-codon, which is responsible for specific mRNA codon recognition, and the 3' end, to which the tRNAs corresponding amino acid is attached (by aminoacyl-tRNA synthetases). tRNAs cope with the degeneracy of the genetic code in two manners: having more than one tRNA (with a specific anti-codon) for a particular amino acid; and 'wobble' base-pairing, i.e. permitting non-standard base-pairing at the 3rd anti-codon position. The record is from Rfam by way of RNAcentral. Lineage: Eukaryota; Metazoa; Chordata; Mammalia; Rodentia; Heteromyidae.